UCUAAUAUGGCAGAUUAGUGCAAUGGAUUUAAGCCCCAUAUAUAAAGUUUACACUUUUCUUAGAA
RNAcentral lists this transfer RNA (65 nucleotides) under Enneaphyllus aeneipennis. RNAcentral describes it as "tRNA-Leu". The record is from RNAcentral. Lineage: Eukaryota; Metazoa; Arthropoda; Insecta; Coleoptera; Cerambycidae.